AUGGUAAAACCUGAUAACACAUCUCUUGUUUUUGUAAAUGAGCUGAUUGAUCAGGUGAACUGGACAUGGCAACAUGAGCUUGUUCGUGCAACCUUCCUGGCACCGGAUGCCCAAGCAAUCUUAAAUAUCCCGCUGCGCAAUGGUGGAGGAGAGGACUUUCAAGCGUGGGCCUUUGAAUCCACCGGAAUUUAUACUGUCAAAUCAGCAUAUCGUACUCUUGUGACUCACAAAGAGCGACUAGCUCGAGAGGAAGGGACGGAUAUGGGUACCUCACUGACCGAAAGACAGCUAUGGAGUUCUUUAUGGAAGCUAAAGGUUAUAGCUAAAGUGCGAGUUUUC
This 339-nucleotide ribosomal RNA is filed under the name Triticum aestivum (bread wheat). RNAcentral's name for it is "partial small subunit ribosomal RNA". The record is from RNAcentral. Lineage: Eukaryota; Viridiplantae; Streptophyta; Magnoliopsida; Poales; Poaceae.